This 64-nucleotide transfer RNA is filed under the name Dipodomys ordii (Ord's kangaroo rat). It matches the Rfam family "tRNA", at positions 1 to 62 of the family's 71-position model. From Rfam's summary of the family: Transfer RNA (tRNA) molecules are approximately 80 nucleotides in length. Their secondary structure includes four short double-helical elements and three loops (D, anti-codon, and T loops). Lineage: Eukaryota; Metazoa; Chordata; Mammalia; Rodentia; Heteromyidae. The record is from Rfam by way of RNAcentral.
GGGAAGGUGGCUCAGUGGUAGAGUGCUUGCCUUGCAUGCAUGAAGCCUUGGGUUCGUUUUCUCA